This 24-nucleotide non-coding RNA is filed under the name Arabidopsis thaliana (thale cress). Lineage: Eukaryota; Viridiplantae; Streptophyta; Magnoliopsida; Brassicales; Brassicaceae. The record is from RNAcentral.
UAUAUCUUGUUGGGCCGGCCCACC